This is a long non-coding RNA of Papaver somniferum (opium poppy), 527 nucleotides long. RefSeq lists it as uncharacterized. The record is from RefSeq and is a predicted model, not a curated record. The transcript is spliced from 3 exons. Lineage: Eukaryota; Viridiplantae; Streptophyta; Magnoliopsida; Ranunculales; Papaveraceae.
CAUUUUUCUUCCUCAGAUCCCAAAACUUCAGGCGACAAGAAUUGCAUCUGUGUAGCUAAUGGAUUCUUGAAGAACAUAUUCAUCACUCGUCGAUACUAAAACCAUUCUUACUCUCAUUAUUCGUUUGAAACUUACAGAAGAAGAAGAUGAUGAUGAUGAUGAAACCCUCAUCUUCUUUGUAUAUCCAUUUAUUUUUUUCAUGAUUCUCCGUGGAUCUCUUCCAAUUUUAGCUUCACUCAAUUGUGCAAAAUGGGCAAUUGAAUCCGCAGGUCUUUGUUCUGAUAAAGUAUCAUCCGAGGAAUCUCCAUGACUCUCUUCUGCACUGCUCCCGUUAAAUAUAAUUGAAUUAGAAGAUGGCGAAGAAACUGAGACUUGUCAUGAUUUUCUCGUUGUUCAGAAAUUUGUAAAAUUUAUACCAAUUCUUGUUUCAUUUUUCCUGGUUGACAACUUUAUAAGACUUAUGGUGCUGUGCCCGUCAUGUAUUGCUAGAUUAGAUCUAUUACAUACUUCUAGGCUGAUUAGUAACG